UGGGGAAUAUUGGGCAAUGGGCGAAAGCCUGACCCAGCAACGCCGCGUGAAGGAAGAAGGUUUUCGGAUUGUAAACUUCUGUCCUCAGGGAAGAAGGAAGUGACGGUACCUGAGGAGGAAGCCACGGCUAACUACGUGCCAGCAGCCGCGGUAAUCCGUAGGGGGCGAGCGUUAUCCGGAUUUAUUGGGUUUAAAGGGUGCGCAGGCGGGAGAUUAAGUCGGCGGUGAAAUUUUGCAGCUCAACUGUAAAAGUGCCUUCGAAACUGGUUUCCUUGAGUGUAGAUGAAGUAGGCGGAAUUUGUGGUGUAGCGGUGAAAUGCAUAGAUAUCACGAGGAACUCCGAUUGCGAAGGCAGCUUACUAAGCUACUACUGACGCUCAGGCACGAAGGCGUGGGGAUCAAACAGG
This 407-nucleotide ribosomal RNA is filed under the name uncultured prokaryote. RNAcentral describes it as "bacterial SSU rRNA". It matches the Rfam family "Bacterial small subunit ribosomal RNA", at positions 355 to 776 of the family's 1533-position model. The record is from RNAcentral.